UCAGCAAACUUGUGUAAGGAAUUACUGGCCAUAAAGGCUAAAGGAUCCAGAUAUAAAUUCAUUUUCUGAGAAGUGUCUGCUGAAGUGGAAAAAGUGGGAGAAUCAAAAAAUAUGCUUCUAAGGGAAAUCUGGAUGAAUAUAUACAAAGAAGGAAGCUGAUAUGAAGGCAACUACAUGAUGGCGAAGAUGGGACAGACGAAACUGCAAGCCAAGUAAUGCCAAAGAACUGCCUACCACCAGCAACUAGAAAGAAGCAAGUAAGGAUUCUACGCAGAGUCUCAGAUGGAGCAUAGCUCUGCUGACACAUGGAUUUUAUAUUUCCAGCCUGUAGAUUUGUAAAAUAAUACAUUUCUGCUUGUUCUAAGCCACCUAGUUUGUGAUACUUUGUUACAGUCACUCAGUGUUAGUCACUCAGCUGUGUUCAACUCUUUGUAACCCCAUGGACUGUAGCCUGCCAGGUUCCUCUGUCCAUGGAUUCUCCAGGCAAGAAUAUUGGAGUGGGUUGCCAUUUCCUUCUUUCGGGGGAUAUUCUCGACUCAUGGAUCUGAUCAGGUCUCCCACCUUGUGGGCAGAAGCCAUACUUUGUUUUAGUAACCCUAGCCAAAUAAUAUAAAAUCCACUCACUACCUGUCAUGAAAAUUUUUCCUUGAGAAAGACAUCUGGAAGAAUGGGUUAAUAAUAGAGAAUGUAAUACUCUGCUUAUUAAUAUGUAGCCCUUCGAUAUAUUUUUAGAUGCUUUUAAAUGUGAAUUUCUGUUAUUAAUACAAAAGCUAUGCAUGUUCACUAAAGAAAAUGUUCAAAAUAGUGACAGGUGGUCUGAAUGGGUCCUUCCUUGCCCUGUAGUGUUUUCUCCAUAGAGCAGCUAGGAUGAACUAAUUGAAAUAUUGAUCUUGCCUCUUCUCUCAUUAAAACCCUUCAAUGACUUUUUCAUCUCACUCAGAGCAAAUCUAUAGAAUUUAAGUGACUUAUAAUCCAUAUAAAUCAUUACAGUAAUUAUUCUCAAUAAACUGG
Molecule: long non-coding RNA, 1011 nt
Organism: Bos taurus (domestic cattle)
Lineage: Eukaryota; Metazoa; Chordata; Mammalia; Artiodactyla; Bovidae
Source: Ensembl